UAAUACGGAGGAUCCAAGCGUUAUCCGGAUUUAUUGGGUUUAAAGGGUGCGUAGGCGGAAGAUUAAGUCAGUGGUGAAAGUUUGCAGCUCAACUGUAAAAUUGCCAUUGAAACUGAUUUUCUUGAGUGUAAAUGAGGUAGGCGGAAUGUGUUGUGUAGCGGUGAAAUGCUUAGAUAUAACACAGAACACCAAUUGCGAAGGCAGCUUACUGGGAUACAACUGACGCUGAGGCACGAAAGCGUGGGGAUCAAACAGGAUUAGAUACCCUGGUAGUCCACGCAGUAAACGAUGAAUACUAACUGUAUGCGAUAUACUGUAUGCGGUACAGCGAAAGCGUUAAGUAUUCCACCUGGGGAGUACGUUCGCAAGAAUGAAACUCAAAUGAAUUGACGG
RNAcentral lists this ribosomal RNA (393 nucleotides) under bacterium enrichment culture. RNAcentral's name for it is "bacterial SSU rRNA". It matches the Rfam family "Bacterial small subunit ribosomal RNA", at positions 521 to 916 of the family's 1533-position model. The record is from RNAcentral.